RNAcentral lists this ribosomal RNA (367 nucleotides) under uncultured bacterium. Its description in RNAcentral is "bacterial SSU rRNA". It matches the Rfam family "Bacterial small subunit ribosomal RNA", at positions 434 to 793 of the family's 1533-position model. The record is from RNAcentral.
CAGUAGGGAGGAAGGUAGUGUAGUUAACACCUGCACUAUUUGACGUUACCUACAGAAGAAAGCACCGGCUAACUCCGUGCCAGCAGCCGCGGUAAUACGGAGGGUGCGAGCGUUAAUCGGAAUUACUGGGCGUAAAGCGCAUGCAGGCGGCCUGUUAAGUCAGAUGUGAAAGCCCGGGGCGUUAACCUCGGAAUUGCAUUUGAAACUGGCAGGCUAGAGUCUUGUAGAGGGGGGUAGGAAUUUCAGGUGUAGCGGUGAAAUGCGUAGGGAUCUGAAGGAAUACCAGUGGCGAAGGCGGCCCCCUGGACAAAGACUGACGCUCAGAUGCGAAAGCGUGGGGAGCAAACAGGAUUAGAUACCCUGGUAG